RNAcentral lists this ribosomal RNA (1306 nucleotides) under Myroides odoratimimus. RNAcentral describes it as "bacterial SSU rRNA". It matches the Rfam family "Bacterial small subunit ribosomal RNA", at positions 80 to 1390 of the family's 1533-position model. The record is from RNAcentral. Lineage: Bacteria; Pseudomonadati; Bacteroidota; Flavobacteriia; Flavobacteriales; Flavobacteriaceae.
CUUGCUUUUUUGAGACCGGCGCACGGGUGAGUAACGCGUAUGCAACCUACCUUAUACAGGGGAAUAGCCCGAAGAAAUUCGGAUUAAUGCUCCAUGGUUUAUCGAUAUGGCAUCGUAUUGAUAAUAAAGAUUUAUCGGUAUAAGAUGGGCAUGCGUAUCAUUAGCUAGUUGGUGUGGUAACGGCAUACCAAGGCAACGAUGAUUAGGGGUCCUGAGAGGGAGAUCCCCCACACUGGUACUGAGACACGGACCAGACUCCUACGGGAGGCAGCAGUGAGGAAUAUUGGUCAAUGGAGGCAACUCUGAACCAGCCAUGCCGCGUGCAGGAUGACGGUCCUAUGGAUUGUAAACUGCUUUUGUACAGGAAGAAACCUCCCUACGAGUAGGGACUUGACGGUACUGUAAGAAUAAGGAUCGGCUAACUCCGUGCCAGCAGCCGCGGUAAUACGGAGGAUCCGAGCGUUAUCCGGAAUUAUUGGGUUUAAAGGGUUCGUAGGCGGCUUUGUAAGUCAGUGGUGAAAUUUCCUAGCUUAACUAGGACACUGCCAUUGAUACUGCAGAGCUUGAAUAGUAUGGAAGUAACUAGAAUAUGUAGUGUAGCGGUGAAAUGCUUAGAUAUUACAUGGAAUACCAAUUGCGAAGGCAGGUUACUACGUAUUUAUUGACGCUGAUGAACGAAAGCGUGGGGAGCGAACAGGAUUAGAUACCCUGGUAGUCCACGCCGUAAACGAUGGAUACUAGCUGUUCGGUUUUCGGACUGAGUGGCUAAGCGAAAGUGAUAAGUAUCCCACCUGGGGAGUACGUUCGCAAGAAUGAAACUCAAAGGAAUUGACGGGGGCCCGCACAAGCGGUGGAGCAUGUGGUUUAAUUCGAUGAUACGCGAGGAACCUUACCAGGGCUUAAAUGUAGAUUGACAGAUUUGGAAACAGAUUUUUCUUCGGACAAUUUACAAGGUGCUGCAUGGUUGUCGUCAGCUCGUGCCGUGAGGUGUCAGGUUAAGUCCUAUAACGAGCGCAACCCCUAUUGUUAGUUACCAGCGCGUAGUGGCGGGGACUCUAGCAAGACUGCCGGUGCAAACCGUGAGGAAGGUGGGGAUGACGUCAAAUCAUCACGGCCCUUACGUCCUGGGCUACACACGUGCUACAAUGGCAAGUACAGAAAGCAGCUACCUGGCAACAGGAUGCGAAUCUCCAAAGCUUGUCUCAGUUCGGAUUGGAGUCUGCAACUCGACUCUAUGAAGCUGGAAUCGCUAGUAAUCGGAUAUCAGCCAUGAUCCGGUGAAUACGUUCCCGGGCCUUGUACACAC